GGACCCUUAGCUCAGUCGGUAGAGCAGACGGCUCAUAACCGUCCGGUCGCAGGUUCGAGCCCUGCAGGGUCCA
This 73-nucleotide transfer RNA is filed under the name Ligilactobacillus ruminis. RNAcentral's name for it is "tRNA-Ile". It matches the Rfam family "tRNA". From Rfam's summary of the family: Transfer RNA (tRNA) molecules are approximately 80 nucleotides in length. Their secondary structure includes four short double-helical elements and three loops (D, anti-codon, and T loops). Lineage: Bacteria; Bacillati; Bacillota; Bacilli; Lactobacillales; Lactobacillaceae. RNAcentral also lists the same sequence under 1 other name. The record is from RNAcentral.